GAGUUUGAUCGUGGCUCAGAUUGAACGCUGGCGGUAUGCUUGACACAUGCAAGUCGAACGGUAACAGGAGAGAGCUUGCUCUUUUGCUGACGAGUGGCGGACGGGUGAGUAAUGCGUAGGAAUCUGCCUAGUAGUGGGGGACAACGUGUGGAAACGCACGCUAAUACCGCAUACGCCCUACGGGGGAAAGCGGGGGAUCUUCGGACCUCGCGCUAUUAGAUGAGCCUACGUUAGAUUAGCUAGUUGGUGGGUAAAGGCCUACCAAGGCGACGAUCUAUAGCUGGUCUGAGAGGAUGAUCAGCCACACUGGGACUGAGACACGGCCCAGACUCCUACGGGAGGCAGCAGUGGGGAAUAUUGGACAAUGGGCGAAAGCCUGAUCCAGCAAUACCGCGUGUGUGAAGAAGGCCUGAGGGUUGUAAAGCACUUUCAAUUGUGAGAAAUAUUUAAGGUUAAUAACCUUAAAUUUUAGACGUUAACUUUAGUAAGAAGACACCGGCUAACUCCGUGCCAGCCGCCGCCGUAAGACG
RNAcentral lists this ribosomal RNA (530 nucleotides) under uncultured microorganism. RNAcentral's name for it is "bacterial SSU rRNA". It matches the Rfam family "Bacterial small subunit ribosomal RNA", at positions 9 to 527 of the family's 1533-position model. The record is from RNAcentral.